UACGUAGGGUGCAAGCGUUGUCCGGAAUUAUUGGGCGUAAAGAGCUCGUAGGCGGUUUGUCGCGUCGGCUGUGAAACCUUGGGGCUCAACCCCAAGCCUGCAGUCGAUACGGGCAGACUAGAGUGCGGUAGGGGAGACUGGAAUUCCUGGUGUAGCGGUGAAAUGCGCAGAUAUCAGGAGGAACACCGGUGGCGAAGGCGGGUCUCUGGGCCGUAACUGACGCUGAGGAGCGAAAGCGUGGGGAUCAAACAGG
RNAcentral lists this ribosomal RNA (253 nucleotides) under uncultured bacterium. RNAcentral's name for it is "partial 16S ribosomal RNA". It matches the Rfam family "Bacterial small subunit ribosomal RNA", at positions 524 to 776 of the family's 1533-position model. The record is from RNAcentral.